UACAGAGGGGGCAAGCGUUGUUCGGAAUUACUGGGCGUAAAGGGCGCGUAGGCGGCCUUCUAAGUCGAACGUGAAAUCCCCGGGCUCAACCCGGGAACUGCGUCCGAUACUGGAAGGCUUGAAUCCGGGAGAGGGAUGCGGAAUUCCAGGUGUAGCGGUGAAAUGCGUAGAUAUCUGGAGGAACACCGGUGGCGAAGGCGGCUCUCUGGGACGGUACUGACGCUGAGACGCGAAAGCGUGGGGAGCGAACAGGA
Molecule: ribosomal RNA, 254 nt
Filed under: uncultured bacterium
Lineage: Bacteria
Description: partial 16S ribosomal RNA
Rfam family: Bacterial small subunit ribosomal RNA
Source: RNAcentral